GCUGAGCGCGGUGGCGCGUACCUGUAGUUCCAGCUACUUGGGGGGCUGAGGCUGGAGGAUUGCUUGAGCCCAGGAGUUCUGGGCUGUAGUGUGCUGUGCCCAUUGGGUGUCUGCACUAAGUUCGGCAUCAAUAUGGUGACCUCCUGGGGAUCGGGGGAACACCAGAUUGCCUAAGGAGGGGUGAACUGGCUCAGAUUGGAAAUGGAGCAGGUCAAAACUUCCUUGCUGAUCAGUUGUGGGAUCGCGCCUGUGAAUAGCCACUGCACUCCAGCCUGGGCAACAUAGCAAGACCCCGUCUCU
RNAcentral lists this signal recognition particle RNA (300 nucleotides) under Saimiri boliviensis boliviensis (Bolivian squirrel monkey). RNAcentral describes it as "Metazoan signal recognition particle RNA (ENSSBOG00000015902.1)". It matches the Rfam family "Metazoan signal recognition particle RNA". Rfam says of the family: The signal recognition particle (SRP) is a universally conserved ribonucleoprotein. It is involved in the co-translational targeting of proteins to membranes. The record is from RNAcentral. Lineage: Eukaryota; Metazoa; Chordata; Mammalia; Primates; Cebidae.